This 500-nucleotide ribosomal RNA is filed under the name uncultured bacterium. RNAcentral describes it as "partial 16S ribosomal RNA". It matches the Rfam family "Bacterial small subunit ribosomal RNA", at positions 30 to 523 of the family's 1533-position model. The record is from RNAcentral.
AUUGAACGCUGGCGGAAUGCUUUACACAUGCAAGUCGAACGGCAGCACGGACUUCGGUCUGGUGGCGAGUGGCGAACGGGUGAGUAAUGUAUCGGAACGUGCCCAGUCGUGGGGGAUAACGUAGUGAAAAUUACGCUAAUACAGCAUACGAUCUAUGGAUGAAAGCGGGGGAUCGCAAGAUCUCGCGCGAUUGGAGCGGCCGAUAUCAGAUUAGGUAGUUGGUGGGGUAAAGGCCCACCAAGCCAACGAACGGUAGUGGGUCUCAGAGGACGACCAGCCACGCUGGAACGGAGCCCCGGUCCAGACUCCUACGGGAGGCAGAAGUGGGGAAUUUUGGACAAUGGGCGAAAGCCUUAUCCAGCCAUUCCGCGUGCAGGAUGAAGGCCCUCGGGUUGUAAACUGCUUUUGUACAGAACGAAAAGGUUUCUACUAAUACUAGGAGCUCAUGACGGUACUGUAAGAAUAAGCACCGGCUAACUACGUGCCAGCCGCCGCCGUAA